This 440-nucleotide ribosomal RNA is filed under the name uncultured bacterium. RNAcentral's name for it is "partial 16S ribosomal RNA". It matches the Rfam family "Bacterial small subunit ribosomal RNA", at positions 338 to 795 of the family's 1533-position model. The record is from RNAcentral.
CCUACGGGAGGCAGCAGUAGGGAAUAUUGCUCAAUGGGGGAAACCCUGAAGCAGCAACGCCGCGUGGAGGAUGAAGGUUUUCGGAUUGUAAACUCCUUUUGUUAGAGAAGAUAAUGACGGUAUCUAACGAAUAAGCACCGGCUAACUCCGUGCCAGCAGCCGCGGUAAUACGGAGGGUGCCAGCGUUACUCGGAAUCACUGGGCGUAAAGAGCGCGUAGGCGGGAUAGCAAGUCAGAUGUGAAAUCCUAGGGCUUAACCAUAGAACUGCAUUUGAAACUGUUAUUCUAGAGUAUGGGAGAGGUAGGUGGAAUUCUUGGUGUAGGGGUAAAAUCCGUAGAGAUCAAGAGGAAUACUCAUUGCGAAGGCGACCUGCUAGAACAUAACUGACGCUGAUGCGCGAAAGCGUGGGGAGCAAACAGGAUUAGAUACCCUUGUAGUC